UACGGAGGAUGCAAGCGUUAUCCGGAAUGAUUGGGCGUAAAGCGUCCGCAGGUGGCUGUGUAAGUCUGCUGUCAAAGAGCAAAGCUCAACUUUGUAAAGGCAGUGGAAACUACACGGCUAGAGUGCGUUCGGGGCAGAGGGAAUUCCUGGUGUAGCGGUGGAAUGCGUAGAGAUCAGGAAGAACACCGGUGGCGAAGGCGCUCUGCUAGGCCGCAACUGACACUGAGGGACGAAAGCUAGGGGAGCGAAUGGG
Molecule: ribosomal RNA, 253 nt
Filed under: uncultured bacterium
Lineage: Bacteria
Description: partial 16S ribosomal RNA
Rfam family: Bacterial small subunit ribosomal RNA
Source: RNAcentral